AGUCUUAUAGUUUAAUGGAUAAAACGCUAGCCUACGAAGCUUGAGUUCCCAGUUCGAUUCUGGGUAAGACUA
This 72-nucleotide transfer RNA is filed under the name Caudoviricetes sp. RNAcentral describes it as "tRNA-Arg". It matches the Rfam family "tRNA". Rfam says of the family: Transfer RNA (tRNA) molecules are approximately 80 nucleotides in length. The record is from RNAcentral. Lineage: Duplodnaviria; Heunggongvirae; Uroviricota; Caudoviricetes.